UACGAGGGGGGCAAGCGUUGUUCGGAAUUAUUGGGCGUAAAGGGCGCGUAGGCGGUGCGGUAAGUCACCUGUGAAACCUCUAGGCUUAACCUAGAGCCUGCAGGCGAAACUGCCGUGCUGGAGUGUGGGAGAGGUUACUGGAAUUCCCGGUGUAGCGGUGAAAUGCGCAGAGAUCGGGAGGAACACCAAUGGCGAAAGCAGGUAACUGGACUAUUACUGACACUCAACUGCGAAAGCUAGGGGAGCAAACAGG
RNAcentral lists this ribosomal RNA (253 nucleotides) under uncultured bacterium. RNAcentral's name for it is "partial 16S ribosomal RNA". It matches the Rfam family "Bacterial small subunit ribosomal RNA", at positions 524 to 776 of the family's 1533-position model. The record is from RNAcentral.